Long non-coding RNA from Pan paniscus (pygmy chimpanzee), 1551 nucleotides. The record is from Ensembl. NCBI's taxonomy places the organism in Eukaryota, Metazoa, Chordata, Mammalia, Primates, Hominidae.
AAAAGAACCUAUAUCCAAAGAGCUGGGUUCUCCUUUCGGAUGUGAUGUUGAACAGUUUCUCUGUGUGCUUCAUCUCCACCUCCCUCCCAGCUUUUAUGUCCCUUCUACUUCGUCUUCAAACUCGAGUUCAAAUCUCCUUCCCUCUGAAAACCCCCUCUCGACUGUGCUACCCAUUGUAAAGACCGACUCUUCAGUGAAGACACAGAAUCAGCAUUUGGGAGAUGCGGAGACCAGGGACGACUCCUUCCUCCUGGGAGAGCUGGGAUUCCAGUCCUGGGAGUGAUUCUGGGUCAUCAGGCCGGAGAAUCACACUCUCUGCUAUCAGCAUCCAACCUACUCGAGUCCUGACCCCACACUGCCAGGAGAGUCCAGCAAGCCCUGAGGGCCUGAGCACAGCCAGGCUGGACACUGGAGGCAGCCCCGGGAGAUGGUUGGACCUCCUAGGUGACGCCAAAAUCCAUCUCUCCACUAAAGAUGUUUAUCUAGCUGCAGACAAACUUUCAAACCUUCUCUUGGCUCCUCGCCCAGAAGAUCUGCCAGGGAAGCACAGAAUGGAGAAGGAGGAGGGGUAGACAAGCACACUUUGUGCUUAGGGACUCUCUUUUCCUUCCCCCAAUCUUCUACUCUCCCACUACUGUGUUUUUCUAAUACUGUCUACUCUUCAUCAUGGUUGAGAAGCUACUGAGCUGGUGUUUCCUAAAUUCUAGAACUAGUGCCUGAUUAAUUAGCAAAUAAUUACAAAACAAUAUACAACCUCCAGAUGAAAAGCUUAAUUGCAGAGUAUUACGUCAGGACCUUAGAAUUAAUAGCAUAUAAUAUUUACACUAUUCUAUUGCUGAUCUCUGACCACUUCCACAAUUUCCGCAGAAAUUAGAUAUUGUCUUUUUUAGCUAUAAUUGUCUCAAAGGGAAAAAGAAAAGCUGACAUGACAGUGCAGUCCUUCCAAAUAGAACUUCAUGAUCAGUUCAUUGACUUGGAGGCAUCUUAAAGAAAAUUUUAAGAUCACCUAGAUCAAAUCAUCCAUUUUAUAAAUAGGUAAAGUGAAGCCCACAGAGGCUUUGGGGACAGUUUCCAAAGUCAUUAAUCAGCGUUUCAAUUCCAUUCCUCCCAUGUGUGGGGCUCAAUCUCUCCUUCCUUUACACGGUGGAGAGCAUGGCUUUCUUCCUGCGGUCCAGUGUCACCAGGCUUAUGUCUUCAUAGCUCAUUUCCGAGGAGAUGGGGGAAUCUUGCCUCAUAGCUUUUGGCUUUCAAAGUGCAUGAGAAAACCCUUGUGGGUCCAGCUUGGUCAUUCUGCUACAGCGUGGACUAUGUUCCACGGACAAACAGAAGAGACACCAUGAUUAACCAGGUCUGUGUUACAGGACUAUGCUCUAAGCAAGGAAAAGGUCACUGAAAUUAGGGAUCCCCACCAGUGAACCAUGACAAAAAUGAGUGGAAGAUUGGUGUUCCCAGUGGAAAUAGUGGAAAGAUGGCUGCUAUGUCCCUUCUCCUAGCAUUGGCCUUAUGGAGCCUCACAGUGAUGAUUCGUCUGAUCAACUAUGGAUGAUGAUA